UGGGGAAUUUUUGGACAAUGGGCGAAAGCCUGAUCCAGCAAUGCCGCGUGUGUGAAGAAGGCCUUCGGGUUGUAAAGCACUUUUGUCCGGAAAGAAAUCCUUGGCUCUAAUACAGUCGGGGGAUGACGGUACCGGAAGAAUAAGCACCGGCUAACUACGUGCCAGCAGCCGCGGUAAUACGUAGGGUGCAAGCGUUAAUCGGAAUUACUGGGCGUAAAGCGUGCGCAGGCGGUUUGCUAAGACCGAUGUGAAAUCCCCGGGCUCAACCUGGGAACUGCAUUGGUGACUGGCAGGCUAGAGUAUGGCAGAGGGGGGUAGAAUUCCACGUGUAGCAGUGAAAUGCGUAGAGAUGUGGAGGAAUACCGAUGGCGAAGGCAGCCCCCUGGGCCAAUACUGACGCUCAUGCACGAAAAGCGUGGGGAGCAAACAGGAUUAGAUACCCUGGUAGUCCACGCCCUAAACGAUGUCAACUAGUUGUUGGGGAUUCAUUUCCUAGUAACGUAGCUAACGCGUGAAGUUGACCGCCUGGGGAGUACGGUCGCAAGAUUAAAACUUAAAGGAAUUGACGGGGUCAUAGCUGUUUCCU
Molecule: ribosomal RNA, 586 nt
Filed under: uncultured bacterium
Lineage: Bacteria
Description: partial 16S ribosomal RNA
Rfam family: Bacterial small subunit ribosomal RNA
Source: RNAcentral